GAGGCACUGCCUGCCCAGUGACACAUGUUCAACGGCCGCGGUACCCUGACCGUGCAAAGGUAGCAUAAUCACUUGUUCUCUAAAUAGGGACUUGCAUGAAUGGCCACACGAGGGUUUAACUGUCUCUUACUUUUAAUCAGUGAAAUUGACCUAUCCGUGAAGAGGCGGAUAUAACUAAAUAAGACGAGAAGACCCUAUGGAGCUUCAAUUUAAUAAUACAAACAAACGUUCUAAAUACCUACAGGCACUAACCCACUGUCAAUGUAUUAUAAAUUUUGGUUGGGGUGACCUCGGAGCAUAACACAACCUCCGAAAAGCAUACACCAAGACCUCACUAGUCUAAGUAAUUCACACUCAUUGACCCAAUAACUUGAUCAACGGACCAAGUUACCCUAGGGAUAACAGCGCAAUCCUAUUUUAGAGUUCAUAUCGACAAUAGGGUUUACGACCUCGAUGUUGGAUCAAGACAUCCUAAUGGUGCAGCCGCUAUUAAGGGUUCGUUUGUUCAACGAUUAAAGUCUUACGUGAUAAUGGAGCCUACUUCACAAAGCGCUCCCACAAAUCAAAUGAUUAUAAUCUUAAUUCACAAAUUAUUACCCCUGCCCAAGAACAGGGCUU
RNAcentral lists this ribosomal RNA (618 nucleotides) under Aotus griseimembra. RNAcentral describes it as "partial large subunit ribosomal RNA". It matches the Rfam family "Bacterial large subunit ribosomal RNA", at positions 1849 to 2638 of the family's 2925-position model. The record is from RNAcentral. Lineage: Eukaryota; Metazoa; Chordata; Mammalia; Primates; Aotidae.